RNAcentral lists this ribosomal RNA (450 nucleotides) under uncultured bacterium. Its description in RNAcentral is "partial 16S ribosomal RNA". It matches the Rfam family "Bacterial small subunit ribosomal RNA", at positions 354 to 796 of the family's 1533-position model. The record is from RNAcentral.
GUGGGGAAUUUUGGACAAUGGGCGCAAUCCUGAUCCAGCAAUGCCGCGUGCAGGAAGAAGGCCUUCGGGUUGUAAACUGCUUUUGUACGGAACGAAACGGUCCUGGCUAAUAUCCGGGGCUAAUGACGGUACCGUAAGAAUAAGCACCGGCUAACUACGUGCCAGCAGCCGCGGUAAUACGUAGGGUGCGAGCGUUAAUCGGAAUUACUGGGCGUAAAGCGUGCGCAGGCGGUGCUGUAAGACAGGCGUGAAAUCCCCGGGCUCAACCUGGGAAUUGCGCUUGUGACUGCAGUGCUGGAGUGCGGCAGAGGGGGAUGGAAUUCCGCGUGUAGCAGUGAAAUGCGUAGAUAUGCGGAGGAACACCGAUGGCGAAGGCAAUCCCCUGGGCCUGCACUGACGCUCAUGCACGAAAGCGUGGGGAGCAAACAGGAUUAGAAACCCGGGUAGUCC